RNAcentral lists this long non-coding RNA (373 nucleotides) under Phoenix dactylifera (date palm). RNAcentral describes it as "long non-coding RNA (PDAC_LNC022009)". Lineage: Eukaryota; Viridiplantae; Streptophyta; Magnoliopsida; Arecales; Arecaceae. The record is from RNAcentral.
UUUAAAUUAUCCAAAUUGUUUUAAAACCCAAUUCACCCCCCCCCUCUUGGGUUGUCUAUCUGGGCAACACUCAUCAAAAUCAAAUAGGGUUUUAAUCAAUCACUCCACAAUCUCCCCCUUUUUGAUGAUGACAAAACAUUGAGUAUAUGUAAAGUGAAUUGCUCAAUAAACAAGGAAAUGAAAUCUAUAAAUGAAUUCAAGUGUCUGGUUUUUUAAUUUAUCCAAACUUGAAAGGUGUGAAACAUUAAAUUUUGGAGUUAAAGCUCUUCCUUUCAUUUGGAAUUAUAUAAGCCUUCAUGUCAUGCACUCAAUUAUUUGGCUUAUAUAUAUUUAAUGAUUUGACUUUCUUAAAAAUUCAGAUUCUCCCCCUCAA